GGGUUGUGAGGUUAAGCGACUAAGCGUACACGGUGGAUGCCCUGGCAGUCAGAGGCGAUGAAGGACGUGCUAAUCUGCGAAAAGCGUCGGUAAGGUGAUAUGAACCGUUAUAACCGGCGAUGUCCGAAUGGGGAAACCCAGUGCAAUUCGUUGCACUAUCGUUAACUGAAUACAUAGGUUAACGAGGCGAACCGGGGGAACUGAAACAUCUAAGUACCCCGAGGAAAAGAAAUCAACCGAGAUUCCCCCAGUAGCGGCGAGCGAACGGGGAGCAGCCCAGAGUCUGAAUCAGCUUGUGUGUUAGUGGAACGGUCUGGAAAGUCCGACGGUACAGGGUGAUAGUCCCGUACACCAAAAUGCACAGGUUGUGAACUCGAAGAGUAGGGCGGGACACGUGGUAUCCUGUCUGAAUAUGGGGGGACCAUCCUCCAAGGCUAAAUACUCCUGACUGACCGAUAGUGAACCAGUACCGUGAGGGAAAGGCGAAAAGAACCCCGGCGAGGGGAGUGAAAAAGAACCUGAAACCGUGUACGUACAAGCAGUGGGAGCACCUUCGGGUGUGACUGCGUACCUUUUGUAUAAUGGGUCAGCGACUUAUAUUCUGUAGCAAGGUUAACCGUAUAGGGGAGCCGCAGGGAAACCGAGUCUUAACUGGGCGUUAAGUUGCAGGGUAUAGACCCGAAACCCGGUGAUCUAGCCAUGGGCAGGUUGAAGGUUGGGUAACACUAACUGGAGGACCGAACCGACUAAUGUUGAAAAAUUAGCGGAUGACUUGUGGCUGGGGGUGAAAGGCCAAUCAAACCGGGAGAUAGCUGGUUCUCCCCGAAAGCUAUUUAGGUAGCGCCUCGUGAACUCAUCUUCGGGGGUAGAGCACUGUUUCGGCUAGGGGGUCAUCCCGACUUACCAACCCGAUGCAAACUACGAAUACCGAAGAAUGUUAUCACGGGAGACACACGGCGGGUGCUAACGUCCGUCGUGAAGAGGGAAACAACCCAGACCGCCAGCUAAGGUCCCAAAGUCAUGGUUAAGUGGGAAACGAUGUGGGAAGGCACAGACAGCCAGGAUGUUGGCUUAGAAGCAGCCAUCAUUUAAAGAAAGCGUAAUAGCUCACUGGUCGAGUCGGCCUGCGCGGAAGAUGUAACGGGGCUAAACCAUGCACCGAAGCUGCGGCAGCGACACUAUGUGUUGUUGGGUAGGGGAGCGUUCUGUAAGCCUGCGAAGGUGUGCUGUGAGGCAUGCUGGAGGUAUCAGAAGUGCGAAUGCUGACAUAAGUAACGAUAAAGCGGGUGAAAAGCCCGCUCGCCGGAAGACCAAGGGUUCCUGUCCAACGUUAAUCGGGGCAGGGUGAGUCGACCCCUAAGGCGAGGCCGAAAGGCGUAGUCGAUGGGAAACAGGUUAAUAUUCCUGUACUUGGUGUUACUGCGAAGGGGGGACGGAGAAGGCUAUGUUAGCCGGGCGACGGUUGUCCCGGUUUAAGCAUGUAGGCUGGUUGUCCAGGCAAAUCCGGAUAAUCAAGGCUGAGGUGUGAUGACGAGGCACUACGGUGCUGAAGUAACAAAUGCCCUGCUUCCAGGAAAAGCCUCUAAGCAUCAGGUAACAUCAAAUCGUACCCCAAACCGACACAGGUGGUCAGGUAGAGAAUACCAAGGCGCUUGAGAGAACUCGGGUGAAGGAACUAGGCAAAAUGGUGCCGUAACUUCGGGAGAAGGCACGCUGGUGUGUAGGUGAAGCCCCUGCGGGUGGAGCUGAGACCAGUCGAAGAUACCAGCUGGCUGCAACUGUUUAUUAAAAACACAGCACUGUGCAAACACGAAAGUGGACGUAUACGGUGUGACGCCUGCCCGGUGCCGGAAGGUUAAUUGAUGGGGUUAUCCGUAAGGAGAAGCUCUUGAUCGAAGCCCCGGUAAACGGCGGCCGUAACUAUAACGGUCCUAAGGUAGCGAAAUUCCUUGUCGGGUAAGUUCCGACCUGCACGAAUGGCGUAAUGAUGGCCAGGCUGUCUCCACCCGAGACUCAGUGAAAUUGAACUCGCUGUGAAGAUGCAGUGUACCCGCGGCAAGACGGAAAGACCCCGUGAACCUUUACUAUAGCUUGACACUGAACAUUGAGCCUUGAUGUGUAGGAUAGGUGGGAGGCUUUGAAGCGUGGACGCCAGUCUGCGUGGAGCCAACCUUGAAAUACCACCCUUUAAUGUUUGAUGUUCUAACGUUGGCCCCUUACCGGGGUUGCGGACAGUGUCUGGUGGGUAGUUUGACUGGGGCGGUCUCCUCCCAAAGCGUAACGGAGGAGCACGAAGGUUAGCUAAUCCUGGUCGGACAUCAGGAGGUUAGUGCAAUGGCAUAAGCUAGCUUGACUGCGAGCGUGACGGCGCGAGCAGGUGCGAAAGCAGGUCAUAGUGAUCCGGUGGUUCUGAAUGGAAGGGCCAUCGCUCAACGGAUAAAAGGUACUCCGGGGAUAACAGGCUGAUACCGCCCAAGAGUUCAUAUCGACGGCGGUGUUUGGCACCUCGAUGUCGGCUCAUCACAUCCUGGGGCUGAAGUAGGUCCCAAGGGUAUGGCUGUUCGCCAUUUAAAGUGGUACGCGAGCUGGGUUUAGAACGUCGUGAGACAGUUCGGUCCCUAUCUGCCGUGGGCGCUGGAGAAUUGAGGGGGGCUGCUCCUAGUACGAGAGGACCGGAGUGGACGCAUCACUGGUGUUCGGGUUGUCAUGCCAAUGGCACUGCCCGGUAGCUAAAUGCGGAAGAGAUAAGUGCUGAAAGCAUCUAAGCACGAAACUUGCCCCGAGAUGAGUUCUCCCUGAGACUUUAAGUCUCCUGAAGGAACGUUGAAGACGACGACGUUGAUAGGCCGGGUGUGUAAGCGCAGCGAUGCGUUGAGCUAACCGGUACUAAUGAACCGUGAGGCUUAACCUUACAACGCCGAAG
This 2923-nucleotide ribosomal RNA is filed under the name Klebsiella pneumoniae. Its description in RNAcentral is "23S ribosomal RNA". It matches the Rfam family "Bacterial large subunit ribosomal RNA". Lineage: Bacteria; Pseudomonadati; Pseudomonadota; Gammaproteobacteria; Enterobacterales; Enterobacteriaceae. The record is from RNAcentral.